CGCCCCUCUGCAGGCGCAGUACACGCGCACGCACGCCGAGUCGCGCACCACGGCCCGCGGGGACCCGAGGCGCACAGCCCCCGCCGCCCCCUCCCAAGCGCCCGGGACAGUGGAGAACACGCGGAGGCAGGUGCGCCCACGCGCCCACGCGCCCACGCGCCCACGCACCCACGCCCAGCACCACACGUAAGCCAGGCCCGCCGUCGCUCACCCAGGCGUGCAACACGCGGGCUCCCGGUCACCCUCACAGACACACAGGCGGACCCUCUACCGCUCAGACAGACNNNNNNNNNNNNNNNNNNNNNNNNNNNNNNNNNNNNNNNNNNCCCCCCCCCCCCCAGGACUAUGACGUCAGCGACACUGUGGCCCGGGCAGAGAUGUGGCCAGGUGCACAGCCUCGCAGGACCUCCCCCACCCUUUCCCUCGGAAGGACCCUAAAGACAAGUGGAUCGGCAUCGCUGGUGAUGAAGGCGAGAGCUAAAGCCACCAAGCCACUAAGGCACCACCCUGGGUUCAAGCUCAGGGAAAGCACUUGUCUACCAAAUCCCAGGCCCAGAAGCCACUCGAAUUCAAGGUGGCGAUCUUUUGAGUCACCCCCAACGUGGGUAAAGGGGGGCAGAGGCGAGCUUAAACCCUGGGUUUGGGCUGUGUGCCCAUUCUUACCCAGGACUGGGGUUGUAUACAGCAGAUUCUUCAGCAGCCUGCAUCCAGAGCAUCCUGGGGAGGACAUCUUUUGCCUCUUCAGUAAGAGCCUCCCUCACCUUCGCCAGGUGCUGUGGAGCCUCUGAGUUGGGCCCGAACAGGUGCUCCUCCCAACUGAUGCCACUGAGCCUUCUUCUACCUCAUGCGCCUCCAGCUCCUAUCCCCUGCCUCUGCUGCUCUUGGUCUCUCUGUUUCUAUUUCUAUCUCGCAGGGGCUCCUUGUUUCUGACUCUAUCUCUCCAUGAGCCUGUGAAUCUGUAUUUGAGUCUUUGUCUGAUUCUGUAUCUCUAUCUGUAUCUGCAACUCUCUCUCUCUGGCUCUUGCUUGUCUCUCUUUGCCUCUGCUUUCCUGUCUCUGAAUCCUGGUGUUUCUCAGUCUGUGUCUCUCUAUCCCUGUCUCCAGGCUUGUCUUUCACACUGGAUAAGUCUCUAUAUGGCUCCAGGAGAUCUUUAUGGUCAGGUUCAAAGGUCACUGUAGCUCAAGAGCUGAAUGGAGAGGGAAAGCUGGCUUGUUCUGAGGCUGGGAGACAGGGUGUCCUGGAUGCUCAGUGUUCCCUCUGGGGGAGUUUUGUCCUCCAGAGUUUGCACUUGUACUCAGUCUGAGUCAGGUCAGAGAUACUCUGAAAGUUUUAAAGGCUUAGCCUCCCACUUUAGACUAUUUCAAGGGCAGGGCUUUGUCUCUAUUCAGACAGGUAGCCAAUCUUUCUGUAGGCUCCAGCUUCUCUUUUAUGCCAUGAGAAUCAGUAGAGAUGGCUUUUGGAGUAAACACAAAACAAACAAGCAAAACCCAGGUUCAAAUUCUGGACCUGCUAUGAAUACACUCCGUGAUAACGGGUAAGUUAUUUGACUUCUCCCAGCCAGGGACAUUCUCCUCAUCAGUGGGGAUACGAGCAGUGCCUAUCUCUCCAGAUUAUGGUGAAGAUAAAGUGAGAUCAUGACUAAUACACUUGACAGAGCCUGAUUCAAGAACUGGAAGUCAUUUUUAUUGGAUUCCCCCAUUUGCUUAUAGAGCCCAACAGAAGCAUAGGCCCAUAGGAUCUUCUGAAUGAAUACAGAUUUUCUCGUUGUUCAUUUCCCUACUUUCUUUC
Molecule: long non-coding RNA, 1788 nt
Filed under: Vulpes vulpes (red fox)
Lineage: Eukaryota; Metazoa; Chordata; Mammalia; Carnivora; Canidae
Description: lncRNA (ENSVVUG00000007102.1)
Source: RNAcentral